UUUUUAAAAAGAGAGUGACGGGCGAUAUGUACACAUCUCAGAGCCAAAUUCAGCUAACCUUUCUUAAAUUAACUUACUAACAAAUCCACCUUCAUAAAGGAAUUACACCUUAAAAUCCGUAUUAAUAACUUUAAUUGUAGCUCAUCUGCGACUUAACUAUAAACUGCACCUUGACCUGAAGUAAAAGACCUUUCUUUAUUGAAAACAUCCUAUAGGAGUAAUCUGACAACGGAGGUAUACAAGCUGAUUAACCAAAUUAAGUAAGAUUUAACGGGGAUUAUCGAUUACACGACAAGCUCCUCUGUGAGGUUAAGAUGCCGCCAAAAUCUUUGGGUUUGAAGAAUAUCUUUUACUACCCUGACAAGAAGUCAACUGGAAUAACAGGGUAUCUAAUCCUGGUUUUUCUCCCAGUUUUAUUAGAGCUUGAAAAAGCUUAGAGAGUUUUAAGUUAUAGUAAAAAUUCCACCUAUUAAAUAACUAUAAUAUCUCUCUUAAACAUUCAUCGAUCAACUAAACUUAAUCUUUAAUUCUAUUCGAGUCUGCC
Molecule: ribosomal RNA, 544 nt
Filed under: Podon leuckartii
Lineage: Eukaryota; Metazoa; Arthropoda; Branchiopoda; Diplostraca; Podonidae
Description: partial 12S ribosomal RNA
Source: RNAcentral